ACUGCUCAGUAACACGUAGUCAAUCUACCCUAUGGACGGGAAUAACCUCGGGAAACUGAGAAUAAUGCCCGAUAGAACACUAUGCCUGGAAUGGUUUGUGUUCCAAAUGAUUUAUCGCCGUAGGAUGGGACUGCGGCCUAUCAGUUUGUUGGUGAGGUAAUGGCCCACCAAGACUAUUACAGGUACGGGCUCUGAGAGGAGUGGCCCGGAGAUGGGUACUGAGACACGGACCCAGGCCCUAUGGGGCGCAGCAGGCGAGAAAACUUUGCAAUGUGCGAAAGCACGACAAGGUUAAUCCGAGUGGUUUCUGCUAAAGAAACCUUUUGUUAGUCCUAGAAACACUGAUGAAUAAGGGGUGGGCAAGUUCUGGUGUCAGCCGCCGCGGUAAAACCAGCACCUCAAGUGGUCAGGAGGAUUAUUGGGCCUAAAGCAUCCGUAGCCUGCUUUGUAAGUUUUCGGUUAAAUCCAUGUGCUCAACAUAUGGGCUGCCGGGAAUACUGCACAGCUAGGGAGUGGGAGAGGUAGACGGUACUCGGUAGGAAGGGGUAAAAUCCUUUGAUCUAUUGAUGACCACCUGUGGCGAAGGCGGUCUACCAGAACACGUCCGACGGUGAGGGAUGAAAGCUGGGGGAGCGAACCGGAUUAGAUACCCGGGUAGUCCCAGCUGUAAACUAUGCAAACUCAGUGAUGCAUUGGCUUGUAGCCAGUGCAGUGCCGCAGGGAAGCCGUUAAGUUUGCCGCCUGGGAAGUACGUACGCAAGUAUGAAACUUAAAGGAAUUGGCGGGGGAGCAC
Molecule: ribosomal RNA, 793 nt
Filed under: uncultured archaeon
Lineage: Archaea
Description: bacterial SSU rRNA
Rfam family: Archaeal small subunit ribosomal RNA
Source: RNAcentral